UACGGGAGGCAGCAGUGGGGAAUAUUGCACAAUGGGCGAAAGCCUGAUGCAGCUAUGCCGCGUGUAUGAAGAAGGCCUUAGGGUUGUAAAGUACUUUCAUCGGGGAGGAAAAAACAAAACUAAUAAUUUUAUUUCUUGACGUUACCCGAAAAAGAAGCACCGGCUAACUCCGUGCCAGCAGCCGCGGUAAUACGGAGGGUGCUAGCGUUAAUCAGAAUUACUGGGCGUAAAGAGCACGUAGGUGGUUUUUUUAAAGUCAGAUGUGAAAUCCCUGGGCUUAACCUGGAACUGCAUUUUGAAACUGAAAUACUAGAGUAUCGUAGAGGGAGGUAGAAUUCUAGGUGUAGCGGUGAAAUGCGUAGAUAUCUGGAGGAAUACCUGUGGCGAAAGCGGCCUCCUAAACGAAUACUGACACUGAGGGUGCGAAAAGCGUGGGGAGCAAACAGGGAUUAGAUACC
RNAcentral lists this ribosomal RNA (458 nucleotides) under uncultured bacterium. RNAcentral describes it as "bacterial SSU rRNA". It matches the Rfam family "Bacterial small subunit ribosomal RNA", at positions 340 to 786 of the family's 1533-position model. The record is from RNAcentral.